AAAUUGCUUAUUUUGUUGUACAAGCUGAGCGUCAAUUAGGGAGAAUUUACUGUAAUAUGUAUAAAAAUAUCUCUAUUUUUCUUAGCUCACGAAACGAGAAGCUCGGAGAAGAUUGCGACUGCUUUCUCUCUCGUGUCGUUAACUCGCAAUUCCCGAAGAUCCUCGAUUGGGAUAUCGGCGUCACCAUAGCCCCAAACAUGGGUGCCAUCGCCAGAUCGGUUCGCCCUUCGUCGCACCAUCGCUGGAGACACGUACUUCCGGUCGUAUGCCCAGCCAAUAUUCGCGAAGGCGUCGAUGAAGCCGGUGGUCACGUUGUAUCUGUAGUUUCCCAGUUCCCCCGUCUUGUAAUCCCAUGGGAACACGUGGUGGAAGUUGUGCCAACCCUCGCCCAAAGCUGCUAUGGAAAUCAUCACGUUUUCCACCGGCGAGAUGAACCUGGAAAUGUUUAAAAUUCACUCAUAGAAGAACAGUGAAUUAUUGCGGUAGUUUAUUCGUUUAGCGAAGAAACGCUGUAUGUUUUCAAAUGCAAAUGAAGCUUUGUAAAAUGCAAAUUUCGUUGGAAA
Molecule: long non-coding RNA, 563 nt
Organism: Megalopta genalis
Lineage: Eukaryota; Metazoa; Arthropoda; Insecta; Hymenoptera; Halictidae
Source: RefSeq, a predicted model, not a curated record